RNAcentral lists this ribosomal RNA (750 nucleotides) under bacterium. RNAcentral describes it as "bacterial SSU rRNA". It matches the Rfam family "Bacterial small subunit ribosomal RNA", at positions 55 to 794 of the family's 1533-position model. The record is from RNAcentral.
AGACGAGUCGAACGGUAACAGGAAGCAGCUUGCUGCUUUGCUGACGAGUGGCGGACGGGUGAGUAAUGUCUGGGAAACUGCCUGAUGGAGGGGGAUAACUACUGGAAACGGUAGCUAAUACCGCAUAACGUCUUCGGACCAAAGAGGGGGACCUUCGGGCCUCUUGCCAUCGGAUGUGCCCAGAUGGGAUUAGCUUGUUGGUGGGGUAACGGCUCACCAAGGCGACGAUCCCUAGCUGGUCUGAGAGGAUGACCAGCCACACUGGAACUGAGACACGGUCCAGACUCCUACGGGAGGCAGCAGUGGGGAAUAUUGCACAAUGGGCGCAAGCCUGAUGCAGCCAUGCCGCGUGUAUGAAGAAGGCCUUCGGGUUGUAAAGUACUUUCAGCGGGGAGGAAGGCGAUGAGGUUAAUAACCUUGUCCAUUGACGUUACCCGCAGAAGAAGCACCGGCUAACUCCGUGCCAGCAGCCGCGGUAAUACGGAGGGUGCAAGCGUUAAUCGGAAUUACUGGGCGUAAAGCGCACGCAGGCGGCGUGUCAAGUCGGAUGUGAAAUCCCCGGGCUCAACCCGGGAACUGCAUUCGAAACUGGCAUGCUAGAGUCUUGUAGAGGGGGGUAGAAUUCCAGGUGUAGCGGUGAAAUGCGUAGAGAUCUGGAGGAAUACCGGUGGCGAAGGCGGCCCCCUGGACAAAGACUGACGCUCAGGUGCGAAAGCGUGGGGAGCAAACAGGUAAACCCCCCCGGGGGGA